CGGUAUUUGCUCAUAUCUUCCAUCUGUACACCUCAUCUUUAAGUGACAGAAUCUGUGUGUAAUUUCAGCACUUGAUUUGCGACAAUCCAUUCUUCAAUUCAAGAGAUCAGACAGAUGGAAAACAGUGGCUGAAGUCUGUGAUAUCCUCAAGGAAGGCAUCUGUUGAAAAGAACUGUUGUAUUAGAUUGGUGUGAAGCUCCGUACAUUCCAGAGGUGCAGAGACAACUCACUGUGGCCUGAUUGCUUGUGACUAAGGAUAUGGAUCACUGGUUUUGACACCAGAGAAACAUUGCAGUUAAGGUGAAAGAAAGAGAAAAUCGGAAGUUGAAGAUCUAAGGAAUUUGAAUACUUCAAAAUUACACCAAGUAGAGACAUACUGAGUAAAGAAAGGGUUCAUUCUUGCAGGAAUAAGGUCUGGUGAAAGAGAGUUGAUAUAAAGCAAGGCCACUUCAUGUGACUGUCUCCUGGUACAUGACUGCUUCCUUUCCUGCUUCCUAGCCACUGAGCAGGACCAGUUGCUGGAAAAGGGAGACUCUCUGAGUAGCUGAGCUGACUGCAAACUGAGAACUUCCAAAUACACAGCUUUUGUGAAUCUCUGCUCCAAUCUGGGGUGGGUUUUUUGGUGUUGUGGGUACCUUUGACUGCCCAAUGUUUCUGAAAAACAAUGCUUCACUCACAUAUCUAAUAAGUAAACAAAAUAAACUCAUUGGUUUUCUAAUAAGAUAUAGGUAGAAGUAUCUCAGUACCAGCUCUGGUCAUAUCACCCUGGAAAAGUCACCCAGUCGAGCAUUUCUCAGAAAAUAUGGAAGACAUCGGGACUUUGCAAUUUCUCAAAGUACUUGCAUGGAAUAAAGUUUUACAUUUCUUCAUCAGUAGAAUUUACUGAGCUUUCAGUUUUUCAUACAAAAACAAAAAAAUUACAUCACAAAACUCUAGGACAGAUUAGGCUAUCAAAAUAGGUGUCCAAUAGAAGACUGGGACUGGAGCGGGGCUUGAUGGAAGCCUUGUGUUCUUCUAUCCUUCUUUCCUGAAAGGUGCUUGUGGAAAGAAGGGGCAACAGUUGGCCAGUGAAGCAAUGCAUUGAUAUUAACCAUUAUACACUGUGAUACAGUUUGUAAUAUAUACCUUAAAAGUGGAAAAACUGAUUUCAGAAAAAAAGGAAAACAGAUGUCCGUAGAAUUAUGUGAUGUUAAAAACAGAUGUCAUUCAGACAGAAAGGUUAGCAAUGGAAUUCAGAUUAACUAUAGCACAGGGAAGAGAGAAAACAGCACUCAGAGUGAGAUUGAGUUCAGAAAAACGUUACUGUAGAUGGAGGACCCGGGUUAACAGAGAAGAAACAAACAGGAUGACACUAUUCAACCUGGCUUUACUAUGAGGAUAUUGUAUCGAUAUGAAUGGAAAAAACGGAAAACACAGCAUGUAAGUGAACAACAUGAAAAAUCUCUACCUUCUGGUUCAGUGAAAUAUAGAUGUCCGAUUAGAUUCAAGGUCCACAGCAUGAAAAAAGCCAUAGUACAUCUAAUUAAAUCUGAGUGAUAGUACAUAACAUAAAUCAAUAUCCUGCAAAAUGUUGUUUUAAUUUUGACUACAAUGGCUUUCAAGUUACUAUGGCAAUAGUUUUUUCUGGGAAAUCAUAAUGGAUUUAUGAGACAAACUGAAAGGCAUUGGCUUGAAGGUUUACAGUGUGUGAGUGUAUGUGUGCAUGUGUGUGUAUAUGUGUGUGUGUGUGUGCAAAUGUGUGAGUGGUGGCUAAAAGGUACUAUUUGAGACGUAGCACAUUGCUUGAAAUUCUUUCUAACUUUUUUAUCUCACACCCGCUUGUAGGUUGUUUUGCAAGAAAAACUCAGGUAAUUGCCAUGUAACAAACACUGUUCAUCUCUUAUAUCUACACUUAAUAACUCGACAUUUUUGGGACAGAGUAAGAAACUAUAAUACAUGGCUAAGAAUGUACUGAUUAUAUCAGGGAAAAUAGCAUUUCCAUUUCAUCUGACCCUCCUUCUCACAUUUCUCCCCGAAGGUUACAUGACUAGAUUUUAUCAAACCACUUCUGAUUUGGUUUAUCUCCUGGUAUAAUGAAAAGGACUUACUUUUAGUACUGGGAUCAAACUUUACACAUACUAUACCAGUGUACUACCAUGAUCCACAACUCCAGUUUUAUCAUGAAUAUUAAAGCCUAAGACACAUUAACAAGACUUAGCAGAAAGGGAUGCUCCAAGGCAGUAAUGACAUCAAAUAGGAUCUUCCUGUUCCUACAGAAGGAAACUUUAAAUGUAAUUUCAAUAUAUUUACAGUAAGUUUUAAAUUAUACUCCACAAUGACAAUAUUACAAAGUGAUUAUUUGUAGAAAUAGGUUUGAUUAGAAGUAUGAAAUACUAAGACUGAACACACUCAAAGAAGCCUUCUAUAGAUGUUCAUAUGCAAAGUAAAGAGAAAAACGUCACCAAUUAACAGUGAAGAAAUAGAGACCAACAGACAAUAGUCCAAUGAAUUGAGUAUA
Molecule: long non-coding RNA, 2497 nt
Organism: Mesocricetus auratus (golden hamster)
Lineage: Eukaryota; Metazoa; Chordata; Mammalia; Rodentia; Cricetidae
Exons: 5
Source: RefSeq, a predicted model, not a curated record